Molecule: long non-coding RNA, 1476 nt
Filed under: Capsella rubella
Lineage: Eukaryota; Viridiplantae; Streptophyta; Magnoliopsida; Brassicales; Brassicaceae
Description: long non-coding RNA (CRUB_LNC004117)
Source: RNAcentral
UUUUAUUGAGAUUUUGAACUUUUGGAUUUUCAGGUUUUUGGAGAAGAUUGAGAUUUUUGUUUGAUAUUUACAAGCCUUCGGUCAUCUCCCUCUCGUUGGCAACCAGUUUCGUUGGUUAGUUCUACUUCUCUUGUGUUUUAUUUGAGCAUCUAUUUCAUAUCAUAUUAUUUUAAGCUUGUACAUAAGGUUCUCUAUGGAAUAUUUUUAAUUGACUUUUACAUAAGACCUUGACAUUAGUCCAGUAAAAGAGAAGAUUUUCUGCCUAAAAACUUCAACUUAUAAGAAAAUAAAGAGAUCUAAUUGGUAGAGUAUUUACAUAUUCUAUAUACGUUCUCUAACACUAAUUUCUUUUUAUGUAAUAAAACAUUACAUAGUCAUGAAAUUGGGUUAACAUGGGCAAUUUACUAUAUGAUUACAUAAUCUGAUCUCAUGCUUCUUCAUAUUGUUAAAUAUAAACAUCAACAAUAGUUGUUACCAUUGGAGAGACAAGAGUGAUAAAGAGAGAUAUUUGAGGAAUGGUUUUUAUGGUCUAAUCUUGAGAAAACCAUUCCUCAAAUCUCUCUCUUUUUCACUCUCGUCUUUCCAAUGGUAACAACUAUUGUUAUUAAUAAUGUAAAAGCUCACUACUGAUUAAGAAAACGGUUUGAUUGUGUAUGACUAUUAUUUAACUACUUGUUUAAUGCAUAUAAAGCUAUAAUAUUUAUGUUUUUGAGAAUAAAAUCUCACUUCUUAAGUACAGUAGUCCAUUUAGAAGUUAAUUUUGAAAAAUGUUUAAUCAAUACAACAAUUUAUAGUACUCACGUGCAUUAAAAUAAUAGUUAUACUGCAACUCGAUUUUGAUAACUCGUAUUACCAGUUGGAGCCUUUAUCACUAAUAAUUUAUUAAAUGUUUUUUUUUUUUCUCUUUUUCCCUUAUUAGAUGUUGCAUGUUUUUCUAAUAUCUAGUAUUUUGUUAAUCGCAGAUCAUGGCAGCAGAGAGUUCAAACAAAAGAAAAGCCCCUAUGGAAGACCAUGACUUAGAUUUCAAUGUAAGUAAACCAAAAUCGGAGUUGGAUGAACACUACAAUGCAAUUUUCUACAAGGUGAAAGAACAAAUUAAAGAGACGGACGAAGCUCACAACCUUAGUAUCAAGUUGCAGAAAACGAAUGCCAAACUUGUUAUCUUGAAGAAAUUGAUGAGUGAGCCAAAACUUGACUUGGAUGCUGAGCUCCAGAAGCUAGAAAAGAAAGCGGAUAUUGCUUUAGAUGCGGUGCUAAAGCAUAAAGUGUCUAAGGUUGAUUGGUCAAAACUAGGGAUGCCGUUUAUGUAUGAAGACUAAGGGCAUCAUUAUCAAAGGGAUAAGAGCUUUUCUUAACAAAAUCUUAGGGUAAGAGCUCAUUAAUAAUGAUGAUCUAAUAUUUAAAACUCUUGUAGUUUUCCUAUAUUCAGAACUCUGUUUUUUUUAUAAUGACUAUCAUCUUAAAUUUGAAUUGCGA